This 180-nucleotide ribosomal RNA is filed under the name Triticum aestivum (bread wheat). RNAcentral's name for it is "partial small subunit ribosomal RNA". The record is from RNAcentral. Lineage: Eukaryota; Viridiplantae; Streptophyta; Magnoliopsida; Poales; Poaceae.
AUGCUCACUUACUAUACCUUGCCUUCAUGCUUAGUGUCACUUAUAUUGUUGCAAGUUUUGCCUUAUUUUGGGUUUGCUUACGUUUAUUUUAUAUCCAUAUGUGCAAAUCCCGCAUUGUCAUUGAUCCACCAAAAAGGGGGAGAUUGUAAGGGCACAUUUCUCCCUAUGUGGUUUUGGUGA